GAUGAACGCUGGCGGCGUGCUUAACACAUGCAAGUCGAACGGAAAGGCCAGUGCUUGCACUGGUACUCGAGUGGCGAACGGGUGAGUAACACGUGGGUGAUCUGCCCUGUACUUUGGGAUAAGCUUGGGAAACUGGGUCUAAUACCGGAUAGGACAACUUUUUGGAUAUUGUUGUGGAAAGCUUUUGCGGUAUGGGAUGAGCUCGCGGCCUAUCAGCUUGUUGGUGGGGUAAUGGCCUACCAAGGCGUCGACGGGUAGCCGGCCUGAGAGGGUGUACGGCCACAUUGGGACUGAGAUACGGCCCAGACUCCUACGGGAGGCAGCAGUGGGGAAUAUUGCACAAUGGGCGCAAGCCUGAUGCAGCGACGCCGCGUGGGGGAUGAAGGCCUUCGGGUUGUAAACUCCUUUCGCUAGGGACGAAGCGCAAGUGACGGUACCUGGAGAAGAAGCACCGGCUAACUACGUG
This 466-nucleotide ribosomal RNA is filed under the name uncultured bacterium. Its description in RNAcentral is "partial 16S ribosomal RNA". It matches the Rfam family "Bacterial small subunit ribosomal RNA", at positions 28 to 507 of the family's 1533-position model. The record is from RNAcentral.